GAAAUAUAUUACAUCAACUUAAGAUGAAUACCUCGGUACUCAACAGAAAACACUCAACAGAAAACAGUAGUAAAAUAUAUGUACUGAUUUUAACAAGAAUGAAAUCACUGUUAGGAGUGUGUUGGAACACUAAUAAUCUGCUACUGUGCUCAAUCAGAGGAGCAAGUACUCAUGGAGUAGCAAAUAAAGCAACGCCUGCCGGUUGCCUAAAUUUCCACCACAUGCACAUGGCCACGCAAUCCAUGUUAGAUGAAGCCAGCUUGGUCAUGCGAAGAGAUAAGGCAGAGGUACCACGGAUCAAAAAUCCCCAGCGCCUUCCAUCCCCACUCCACGCGACCAAGACAGGCGGAGACGACUACGGCCGGUCGGCUACUUCACCGGCGGCGAGAAAAACUCCCGCCGCGCUCUUCCUCGUCCGAGGAUCCUCCAGGGAGCAGAGUGCCCGGCGCGACGCCGUUGGAGGCGCCGAUCGCGAGCCCGAGUGCCGCGGGGCUCCGCGUGCCGGAGCGGCCGCUCGACGGUGGACUCGCCAGCGAGACGCCGAGGGCCAAGAGGCGGUGACGAACCCCAGAGCGCGGCGAAAACUGAGGGGUGGCCAGCGUCGGGGACGGCAGGCGCGGCGUCGGCGUCGGCGUCGACAACCACGUGGUUGGAGGAGCCGCCCGCGCCCAAACCAAAGACGAAGGAGGAUGCGCCGGUCGUCGCCGAGACGAAGGCCAGUGCGUGGCUGGUGGCGACCUCAACGACCGCGGGGGUCGGAGAUGGCAGGCGCGGCGGCACGAUGGCGUCGCUUGGGACGUGCGCCACCGACGGCAACCUCUGGAGCGCUGUGGAACCAAGGGCUGCGACAGGCGAGGCAGCGUUUGCCUGGAGCCGACAGGCCCAGAUGGAGGCCACCACGGGGGACCUCACCGGGGCCGAUGGCCGUCGCGCGAGAAGCGCAACGAGGCUCUGAGCGGGCGCUGUCAUGCCGCGGGAUCGCAUAGCCUCCGCGUCACGCGGCGCCGGUCGUGAAGACCAUGCGCACAUCCGCCAAGCGACGGAGGGCUCUGCAACUGCCGUGAGGAUGCUGCUGUGUGCCUGGAGAUAGUCGCCGCGUGCGCGGACCCGGAGAAUGCCAAAAAGGUACUCCCUCGGUAAACUAAUAUAAGAGUGUUUAGAUCAUUAUUUUAAUGAUCUAAACACUCUUAUAUAAGUUUGCGGAGGGAGUACUAUAUUUCUUGAUGAAAUCGUUUGAUGCUUGCCAAAUUGAAAUCGGAAAGUGGCACCUUAUUCAUGUAGCAAUUAGAGUAGAUCAAGACUUUGGUCUUUACGUGCUUGCUUGAUCUUCUCUCACUCCGACUUCUCUGUUUCUCGAGGCGACCCCUCCAGCGAAUGUAUUCGCGUGGAGUCUGGACCGGAAUUAAGGAUCGCCGGAUUUGUUGUCUCCGUUGUCGAACGACACCGUCGUCUGUCCGUCGCUUUCUUCUCGUCGUCGUUCUCGCCCAGCGGUUUUGAGCGUGCUGAUAACGUGUUGGAACUAAUCGAGA
Molecule: ribosomal RNA, 1529 nt
Filed under: Triticum aestivum (bread wheat)
Lineage: Eukaryota; Viridiplantae; Streptophyta; Magnoliopsida; Poales; Poaceae
Description: partial small subunit ribosomal RNA
Source: RNAcentral